GAUUUUAACUCGUUUGUUUGUUGUUUUUUCACAGGUUCACGGACUAUUCAGAGUUGGAAGGGAUCCACAAGGAUUCUCGAGUCCAGCUCUUAAGUAAAUGUCCAGUACAGGGAUUGCACCCACCACCUUGGUGUUACAAGCUCCAUGUUCUAACCAACUGCAACUCCAGAAAAUUAACAAAUUUAACUACAAAUAUCCACGUGUUCUGUCAAUGAACCCGCACAUCACCAUGAGGACAUCACAACAUCCCAGCUGUAUGCUACUCUGCUUGAGGAUUUUGAAGCCCAGAUUGCCUAGUCUGGUGGAAAUAUUUCUGGUGGAGAUGUAUAGGUGCAAGCUCUGCCAUUUCACAAGCAGGAUCCAAAGUAAGAUGAGGAGACACCUGGCUCAAAUAUGUGAAACUGAUAUGGCAUGUGGAAUUUCAGGCUGCCCUAAAAUGGACCAAGAUUAAUGUAUUUGCUCUGGUUUUAAGCUACUGCAACAAACUGUGGCUUUUAAUACAACUAAGGAAUGGAUCAAGGUCUGCAAGCAUCAGUGCAAGCACAGACCCUUCAGAGUUGCUGGCUUCAGCUCCAUCACAACAUCCUUACAUGUGUUGGUGGUGUCUUGACUGAACCACACUGGUGCACACUGGAUUGGAGAGUCAGGUUAAAAAAACCCAAACAGCACAACAAAUGAGCAAACAAAAACCGACUCAAACAAAUUACUUUUCUUGAGAAGCUCUAUUUUAUGUGAGUUUCACAAACAUAGCACAGAAUGAGGAGCAAGGUUUAUUUUCUCUACAGCUUUGACUUUCAUCACCUGGAAGUUUCUUAUCUCAGAUUUUUAAGUCCUCCCAUCACUGAUGGUAUUAUGAAAUAUUGGUAUUAUGUAUUUUGGGUUUCUUUUUGAAUUAGUUUACUUAGCUUAUUUCUUAAAUGGCACUCCAGAGAAGAGCUGAAGGGGGAUAUGGAAAAUUACAGAACUGCUACCACUUUUUUUGUCUUAAUUUUGGGAUCAAGUAUUCAAAACCAGACAUCAAUUGAGUGGACAUCACAAACACAUCCAUUGUGAAGAAGCAACAGACCCACAAAUGAAAGAGAGGAAGAGAAGAAAAAAGCCUGAAGACAAUCCUGUGUGUUUCAACACAAAAGCAACUUCAAAGAAGGAUUCAAGUUAAUUUAAAUGUAGCAUGUACAGUAGGUAUGAGCUAUUUUGUUCCUUAAUUGCAGAAUAUUUGGUAAUCUGGCACAUCUAUUUAUCUGCUGAUUUACUGACAUAUUUUUGUAAGAAAGUUGCCCUUUGAUAGCCUGAACAAAAAUAAAAAUAGCUGUUUCCUAGUUGGUGUGUGAUAGUACCAGUCUUUGGAAUAAAUUAAACAUUUGCUGAUCAAAAGGUGCAGCUAAGGUUUUCUUCUAUAGUUUGUUAAAGGCAAUAAGAAAGUACAGCCACUGAAAUAGGCUCUUUCAGGAGCCAAGAGAAAUGCUGUGAGACUUCUUGGAAUUCUGCAAGUUAACUAGGUGAAAAAACAGCUUCCUUUGGGUCAUGGCUGCAUUUUUAAGAGGAAUAUUAACUGAAGCACCAAUUUUAUCAGUGUAAAAUUCUACUUACCUGCACUCGUAAGAGUUAACACCAAGACUUUGCCUUACCUCAAGUGUAUCCUUUCUUCCAAAGAGAUUUUGAGAAGGCAUUUGAUGUUUUCCUGCUACUCAGAAAAAUCUCUUUUUCUUCGAUAAAGAAGAUAAUCUCUAGCCAUCACCUGUCCAUUAGUUGACAUUACAAAAUAUCAAAAUCUGCUAGCUUUUCUAAUUUUUAGGUAGAGAAGCUUGAGUAUAUCUCUUUCUCUGGGUUUCUUCUAAGUAUGUACAUUUGGCUUGGGGUGCUUUCUGUUUUUGUUAUUGGUAGCCAUACAUGUCUGCUACAUUGUCAGAAAGCAUUUUUACAAUAGUUCAACUAGAGAAGUCACUUUCUUGCUUUCGCAGUUGUGUAUCAUAAAUUAAUUCAAAUCAUCAAAGCUUUUUCCCCAAAGGCUUCUUUAUCCCACUGUUUUCUAGGACUUAAAUAAUUGUCUAUACUGAGUCUGGCUUUCCUCAUUUGAAGUUGUUAUUGCUCACGUGGAAAGAAAUAAAAGCAUGUUUUAAUAGC
Motacilla alba alba is the source of this 2124-nucleotide long non-coding RNA. RefSeq lists it as uncharacterized. The record is from RefSeq and is a predicted model, not a curated record. NCBI's taxonomy places the organism in Eukaryota, Metazoa, Chordata, Aves, Passeriformes, Motacillidae. The transcript has 4 exons.